This 450-nucleotide ribosomal RNA is filed under the name uncultured Anaerolineaceae bacterium. RNAcentral describes it as "bacterial SSU rRNA". It matches the Rfam family "Bacterial small subunit ribosomal RNA", at positions 919 to 1382 of the family's 1533-position model. Lineage: Bacteria; Bacillati; Chloroflexota; Anaerolineae; Anaerolineales; Anaerolineaceae. The record is from RNAcentral.
CCCCGCACAAGCAGCGGAGCGUGUGGUUUAAUUCGAUGCUACACGAAGAACCUUACCAGGGUUUGACAUACAAGUAGUAGGGAAAGGAAACUGGACCGACCUUCGGGGAGCUUGUACAGGUGCUGCAUGGCUGUCGUCAGCUCGUGUCGUGAGAUGUUCGGUUAAGUCCGCUAACGAGCGCAACCCGCGUUGUGUGUUACAAGUGUCACACAAUACCGCCGGUAUUAAGUCGGAGGAAGGUGCGGAUGACGUCAAGUCAGCAUGACCUUUAUAUCCAGGGCUACACACACGCUACAAUGGUCGGCACAAUAGGUUGCCAAGUCGUGAGACGGAGCCAACCCUCCAAAGCCGGCCUCAGUUCAGAUUGCAGGCUGCAACUCGCCUGCAUGAAGUUGGAGUUGCUAGUAAACGCAGGUCAGCUAUACUGCGUUGAAUACGUUCCCGGGGAUU